UCACGCAUGACACACUGCAUAUCAAUAAGCGGAGGAAAAGAAACUAACAAGGAUUCCCCUUAGUAACGGCGAGUGAAGCGGGAAGAGCUCAAAUUUGAAAUCUUCAAGGCUUUACCUUGACGAAUUGUAGUUUAUAGAAGUGUUUUCUGUUAGUAGAGUUGGUAAAAGUUCUUUGGAAUAGGACAUCAUAGAGGGUGAGAAUCCCGUAUUUGACCAGUUAUUUUCAGCUGUGUGAUACACUUUCAAAGAGUCGGAUUGUUUGGGAAUGCAGUCCAAAAUGGGUGGUAAAUUUCAUCUAAAGCUAAAUAUUGGCGAGAGACCGAUAGCGAACAAGUACCGUGAGGGAAAGAUGAAAAGAACUUUGAAAAGAGAGUUAAACAGUACGUGAAAUUGUCAAAAGGGAAGCGUUUGACACCAGUGUUGUUUUCUCGAAAAUCAAUUAAAAAUGAUGGGAUUUUGUGUUGUAUUGACUUUAUCAGCUUUCUGCACUUUUUUCUUAUCUUUUUUAAUGCACUUUUCGUUUAACAAGUCAACAUCAAUUUCCUUUGUUGUAAAAGAGUCAUUGGAAGGUGGCUUUUUCUUCGGAAAAAGUGUUUAUAGCCUUUGGCUUCUGCAAUCGGAGAGAUUGAGGUCUGCAGCGUAGAUCCUUCGGGGUUAGAUACAUUUGUGCUAAGCUAUAGUUCUUUAUAGACAACUUGUUGACUAUAAUCAAUCCUGUAACUUACUCGCUUAUGCUAUUUUACCUACGCUUAGGAUGUUGAGCGCAUGUCUCUCUCU
RNAcentral lists this ribosomal RNA (777 nucleotides) under uncultured Neocallimastigales. RNAcentral's name for it is "partial large subunit ribosomal RNA". It matches the Rfam family "Eukaryotic large subunit ribosomal RNA", at positions 24 to 616 of the family's 3401-position model. Lineage: Eukaryota; Fungi; Neocallimastigomycota; Neocallimastigomycetes; Neocallimastigales. The record is from RNAcentral.